Molecule: long non-coding RNA, 2901 nt
Filed under: Homo sapiens (human)
Lineage: Eukaryota; Metazoa; Chordata; Mammalia; Primates; Hominidae
Description: HSALNT0062939
Source: RNAcentral
CUAAGGAAGAAUGUUCAGAGAGAUGCAAAGUUUCUGGCUUUGAAGCUGGAGGAGGCAGGGAGUGCAAGUGGCCUCUAGAAGAUGAAAAAGCAUGAUUAGAAAGAAUGCAGUCUACCCAAGCGGGACUACUGUGAAGGAGAUAACAUUCAUUUGAAAAGGAUACGUGGAAGUGGGAUAAAGAUCACUUUCAGAAAGGAGUACAUCAAAAAAAUUCCCAUCCAAGGUGUCAAUGUCACUAAAGGAAUAUUCUCUGCUAUUUAAGUGAGAAUUCUUCCACUUCUUUCCAUUUCAUCAGGCAGAGAUUAUUAUACAUUUUGAAGCACAUGUUGGAGCUUGGAAGAAGAAUGAAGGAUAAAUAAGGGUCUUGUGCUAUGGACAAAGCAAAUCAUGGAAGAGAAUCUUACCUUGGGCAGAAUGGUUGUGUUUGUGGAAAGUUUGAAGAGAUUAAACUGAUGAAGCUUCUAUUUAUAGAACUAUUCUGAUUGUUUCUGUUUUCCCCAGGCUACUGGAGGUAAAUACAUAUGCUAUUCAUUGACGAAUAUGUUUUAUUUUUCUGUCAAAAUAUAUGUGAUAGAGUAUCUGCAAAUUUUGCAUAUAUUAAAGCUACAAAGAGAACAAAGGGACAACUUAAAAAGAUGAUAGUGUGUAAGUUGGCAUGGGCUGAGGAAGUUUAUGUGCUAAAAUGAUUAUUUGGCAGCAUAAUUUUGUGAAAGGGGGCAUGACGUAUAUAGGACUUGCAAGACGAAGCUCAAAACUGAAAGGAGCAUAUUCUUGAAAUGGAUCACAGGGAAGGAUUCAAACAAGAGAAUCUCAAUAGAACUAUUACAGCCAAAAGAGGCAAAGAAAAUGAAGAGGCUAGCUGAGCUAAUGCUAACUGAAGGAAUUAAAAUGAAUAAGCAUGCUCAUUUAUAAUUUUAUCAUGGAAAAAUAAAUACAAGUGGGAGAAUGGCCCGUCAAUAAAUGAGGAGGGAGGAGAAAUCAAUGUUAGUUGUAAAAUGUCUGAGCUAUUGAACUGCUGUUUUCAAGUCAGUCUUUAUAAAGAAAUAGGGGUCUGGAUAAUUAGGAAGUAAUUAAGGACCAACCGACUUUCAGGCACUAUUGAUGAUAAAUAAGUAAAUAAUUACCACUUGCAUUAACAAAAUGUGUGCAUAUGUGGAAGAAAUGCAUUCUAUAGAAAUUUCCACGUUUUGAUGGUAAUUAUUGUACUACUUGUUUAAUUAGCCAAUGAGUGGGGGAAAAAUAACCCACCUCCAAACAUGCACAAUUAAAUAGAUGCAAUGAUUUGGCCAGAGGAAAAAGACCAAGGUAUGAGCUUUUCAGGCUGAAAUUAAAAUAAUCUGCUAUCAGCUUAUCUAAACAAAUUAACUAACAAAACACACACAGCAAACAAUGCUAUAGUAAAAUAAUUUAGUCUGGAAUUGCCAGGUGUGGGAUUAGGAACUGUACAAUGCAAAGUAUCUUUCUUAGUUGUCCAGUGAGCCUGGACCACCCAAAAGACUGAUUUUACAAUUUUUAAAAGUGCCACGUAACUGGGAGAUUUACAUCUCUCAGAACUAAAGUUUUAUGGAAAAUUGUAAACUUUCCAGUUUGUGCUACAUAAUGUGGACCUAGGUAUGAGCUGGGUAUAUAGUCUGAAUUGGAUAAACAUGUGUCCUACACUUUUUAAACAUGGAUGAAUUGAUGCAAGAAUGGAGUUCUUUUUUUUGUAAUUCAGAGGUAGUACAGAGUGGUAAAGAACAAAAGAUUUUUAGUCAGACAGACCUAGUUUAGAAUCUUGCCUCAAACUCAUGCAAUGAGCACAUGGGCAAAUGCUUUAACCUUUUUGAGGGAUGGUAAUUAUAUUUACUACAUAUAGUUGUAUGAAGAUAAAGUGAAAUCGUAGAUAUACAGUUCUUGGCACAAAGUAGAUAAUAAAUAAAACUUAUUAUCAUAAUAAUAUGGUAGAGUUAAGUAUAACAUGUGAUAUAAAUGCUUGCUCAAAAGCUAGAGAAUCCAGAAUCUAUUUUUGUUUUAAUUUUGAAUGACAUAGAACUUGUGAGAUUGGUACUUGAUAAAUGGUAGCUAUUAAUGGUAUUUAUUAUUUAGCCCUGUUACCUUAGAAAAAUUAUAGUCUCAUUUGACCUCAUUUUCCACCUACAUUAGGAUUAACCUAUUUUUUUGGCAGCAUUUUUGUAUUCUGAGCAUUAUUGGAGCACGUGGUUCCUGAAGGAAUUUGAGUUUACUUGGAGAGGUAAAACUAAUAUAUAGGAAACAACUGGAGAUAAAAGUGGGUCUAAUUUACCACAAGUACUCCAGGAGUUCAGAGAGCAGAGAGGGUAGGGCAUUGUAGUAACAGAAGGUAUGGCAAGGACAAAGUGGAGUUUACUCUGUGCCUUGAGGAUUAUUUAAGAUUUGUACGGAUGAGGAGAUGAUGAUGAAGAGGCUGGAAUGGUUUUUGGGUGGGAAACCAGCCUAAGCUGGUGUGGAAGUAGAAAUGAAUGCAUCUAGUGAUUACAUCUCUGAAACAUGGGGCAUGUGAUCUGGUAUAAGAUAUGAGGAUUGCAUCAGAAUAUUUGAAAUUGGGCUAUUGGUCCACAUAUGAAGAGAGGUUAAUAGAUGUUGACUAGAAGGGAGUGUUAAAGUUGGAUAAAUAACUGGAGAACAAAGCAGAAAGCUGCUAUUACUUGCAAUAACUGCCUUUCUAUGGGUGUUGUGGCUUUAGAUGAAAUGAGAUAUUUGAAUCCCUAAAGCAGUUUUCUUUUUGUGGGAGCUCUACGACCAUCCAUAGAAAUUUCACUUUUCUUGUCUGAGUCCUCCACUAGUCUAUGAGUCUCUUAAGGUAGGAACCAGGUUUUGUUUAUUUCCAUAUAUGAGCACUUAACACAGUACCUGUCACAUAAUAACAAAUGUGAAAUAUUUGUG